Mycena filopes is the source of this 86-nucleotide non-coding RNA. The record is from the annotation of a GenBank genome assembly. NCBI's taxonomy places the organism in Eukaryota, Fungi, Basidiomycota, Agaricomycetes, Agaricales, Mycenaceae.
GCAACCCUUGGCCAAGUUGGUAAGGCGUCGCACUCGUAGAACCGUCUGCUAUGCGAAGAUCAGCUGUUCGACUCAGCUAGUGGGCA